AUAAUGGGUCAGCGACUUAUAUUCUGUAGCAAGGUUAACCGAAUAGGGGAGCCGAAGGGAAACCGAGUCUUAACUGGGCGUUAAGUUGCAGGGUAUAGACCCGAAACCCGGUGAUCUAGCCAUGGGCAGGUUGAAGGUUGGGUAACACUAACUGGAGGACCGAACCGACUAAUGUUGAAAAAUUAGCGGAUGACUUGUGGCUGGGGGUGAAAGGCCAAUCAAACCGGGAGAUAGCUGGUUCUCCCCGAAAGCUAUUUAGGUAGCGCCUCGUGAAUUCAUCUCCGGGGGUAGAGCACUGUUUCGGCAAGGGGGUCAUCCCGACUUACCAACCCGAUGCAAACUGCGAAUACCGGAGAAUGUUAUCACGGGAG
This 371-nucleotide ribosomal RNA is filed under the name Escherichia coli. Its description in RNAcentral is "partial 23S ribosomal RNA". It matches the Rfam family "Bacterial large subunit ribosomal RNA", at positions 612 to 983 of the family's 2925-position model. The record is from RNAcentral. Lineage: Bacteria; Pseudomonadati; Pseudomonadota; Gammaproteobacteria; Enterobacterales; Enterobacteriaceae.